GAUGAACGCUGACAGAAUGCUUAACACAUGCAAGUCAACUUGAAUUUGGGUUUUUAACUUAGGUUUGGGUGGCGGACGGGUGAGUAACGCGUAAAGAACUUGCCUCACAGCUAGGGACAACAUUUGGAAACGAAUGCUAAUACCUAAUAUUAUGAUAAUAGGGCAUCCUAUAAUUAUGAAAGCUAUAAGCGCUGUGAGAGAGCUUUGCGUCCCAUUAGCUAGUUGGAGAGGUAACAGCUCACCAAGGCGAUGAUGGGUAGCCGGUCUGAGAGGGUGAUCGGCCACAAGGGGACUGAGACACGGCCCUUACUCCUACGGGAGGCAGCAGUGGGGAAUAUUGGACAAUGGACCGAGAGUCUGAUCCAGCAAUUCUGUGUGCACGAUGAAGUUUUUCGGAAUGUAAAGUGCUUUCAGUUGGGAAGAAACAAAUGACGGUACCAACAGAAGAAGUGACGGCUAAAUACGUG
RNAcentral lists this ribosomal RNA (467 nucleotides) under uncultured bacterium. Its description in RNAcentral is "partial 16S ribosomal RNA". It matches the Rfam family "Bacterial small subunit ribosomal RNA", at positions 28 to 507 of the family's 1533-position model. The record is from RNAcentral.